RNAcentral lists this transfer RNA (69 nucleotides) under Ictidomys tridecemlineatus (thirteen-lined ground squirrel). RNAcentral describes it as "Spermophilus tridecemlineatus (thirteen-lined ground squirrel) tRNA". It matches the Rfam family "tRNA". Rfam says of the family: Transfer RNA (tRNA) molecules are approximately 80 nucleotides in length. Lineage: Eukaryota; Metazoa; Chordata; Mammalia; Rodentia; Sciuridae. The record is from Rfam by way of RNAcentral.
GGGAUUGUGGCUUAGUGGUAGAGCGCUCACCUGGAGCGUGCGGGGCCCUGGGUUCAAUCCUCAGCACCA